RNAcentral lists this long non-coding RNA (711 nucleotides) under Mus pahari (shrew mouse). Its description in RNAcentral is "RIKEN cDNA 1700034B16 gene (MGP_PahariEiJ_G0004729.1)". Lineage: Eukaryota; Metazoa; Chordata; Mammalia; Rodentia; Muridae. The record is from RNAcentral.
AAGUAUUCAGUUAUAGAUGGCUCCAACUAGCAACUGGGGAGGGUUUCCUGGUAGAAGUGGGUUUUGAUGUGGUUAGUGGGCUUCCAGAACAGUCCAGACCCACUCUGGUCUUUGUCUUUGAGAACUAAGGAAGCACUCUCAGCUUGAGAUUAAGCCUGGUCAUUUGUGCUUCAAUUGCAUAAGUAGGAAUGGGGCUUGUGUCUUCAGGAUUUUAGGGCUCUGAGAGCCUCUAGGAACUUGACAUCUUUUUUCAUCUUGGAGCUCACUGUCUGACUAGCACAGGUGUGGGAGACUGAGACUGGGUACCUGAACAGAUGCCCCUGUGACCCCUGUCUCACCUCUCUGGGUUCUUGGGUGGGGAUUUCAAUAGGUUUGGGGAAGGCAGAGAGAUAGGGGGAGUCACAGAAGUCACAGACCUGCAGGCAUCUUACAGCCAAGGAAAUGGACAAGAGACAAUACUUGUCUGAAGUUACAGAGUUAAUGAGUGGCAGAGUCUGGAUCUCUGCUCUGUGCAGUUAACUACUGAGCCCCAAGUCUUGCCACAUCUUCAGACACAGAGGAGCAGAGCACAGGUGUUUCCAGAAGCUAGCCAGCGCUGGGCCAGUCUGAACCUGGUGCCUGUACUUCCCUGCAUCACCCUUAGUUAAUGGGUGGACCCAAUGCUGAAUUUGACCUUGACUGUCAUCCCAUAUGACAGAGGCCACACUGUCA